UGCAAGUCGAACGAUGAAGACCGUGCUUGCACGGUUGGAUUAGUGGCGAACGGGUGAGUAUCACGUGAGUAACCUUCCCUUAACUCUGGGAUAAGCCCGGGAAACUGGGUCUAAUACCGGAUACGACCAGUCCUCGCAUGGGGUGCUGGUGGAAAGAUUUAUCGGUUUUGGAUGGACUCGCGGCCUAUCAGCUUGUUGGUGAGGUAAUAGCUCACCAAGGCGAUGACGGGUAGCCGGCCUGAGAGGGUGACCGGCCACACUGGGACUGAGACACGGCCCAGACUCCUACGGGAGGCAGCAGUGGGGAAUAUUGCACAAUGGGCGAAAGCCUGAUGCAGCGACGCCGCGUGCGGGAUGACGGCCUUCGGGUUGUAAACCGCUUUCAGCAGGGAAGAAGCGAAAGUGACGGUACCUGCAGAAGAAGCGCCGGCUAACUACGUGCCAGCAGCCGCGGUAAUACGUAGGGCGCGAGCGUUAUCCGGAAUUAUUGGGCGUAAAGAGCUCGUAGGCGGUUUGUCACGUCUGCUGUGAAAGCCCGAGGCUCAACCUCGGGUGUGCAGUGGGUACGGGCAGACUAGAGUGCAGUAGGGGAGACUGGAAUUCCUGGUGUAGCGGUGAAAUGCGCAGAUAUCAGAGGAACACCGAUGGCGAAGGCAGGUCUCUGGGCUGUUACUGACGCUG
This 681-nucleotide ribosomal RNA is filed under the name Micrococcaceae bacterium 4-5-19. Its description in RNAcentral is "bacterial SSU rRNA". It matches the Rfam family "Bacterial small subunit ribosomal RNA", at positions 56 to 748 of the family's 1533-position model. The record is from RNAcentral. Lineage: Bacteria; Bacillati; Actinomycetota; Actinomycetes; Micrococcales; Micrococcaceae.